CCUACGGGUGGCAGCAGUGAGGAAUAUUGGUCAAUGGACGAGAGUCUGAACCAGCCAAGUAGCGUGAAGGAUGACUGCCCUAUGGGUUGUAAACUUCUUUUAUAUGGGAAUAAAAUGUUCCACGUGUGGGAUUUUGUAUGUACCAUAUGAAUAAGGAUCGGCUAACUCCGUGCCAGCAGCCGCGGUAAUACGGAGGAUCCGAGCGUUAUCCGGAUUUAUUGGGUUUAAAGGGAGCGUAGGUGGAUUGUUAAGUCAGUUGUGAAAGUUUGCGGCUCAACCGUAAAAUUGCAGUUGAAACUGGCAGUCUUGAGUACAGUAGAGGUGGGCGGAAUUCGUGGUGUAGCGGUGAAAUGCUUAGAUAUCACGAAGAACUCCGAUUGCGAAGGCAGUUCACUGGACUGCAACUGACACUGAGGCUCGAAAGUGUGGGUAUCAAACAGGAUUAGAUACCCUUGGAGUC
This 460-nucleotide ribosomal RNA is filed under the name uncultured bacterium. RNAcentral's name for it is "partial 16S ribosomal RNA". It matches the Rfam family "Bacterial small subunit ribosomal RNA", at positions 338 to 795 of the family's 1533-position model. The record is from RNAcentral.